UGAGCAGGAAAGCAGGGGAUCGCAAGACCUUGCGCUGAUUGAGCGGCCGAUAUCAGAUUAGCUAGUUGGUGAGGUAAAGGCUCACCAAGGCGACGAUCUGUAGCGGGUCUGAGAGGAUGAUCCGCCACACUGGAACUGAGACACGGUCCAGACUCCUACGGGAGGCAGCAGUGGGGAAUUUUGGACAAUGGGGGCAACCCUGAUCCAGCCAUGCCGCGUGAGUGAAGAAGGCCUUCGGGUUGUAAAGCUCUUUCGGCCGGGAAGAAAUCGUAUGGGUUAAUACCCUGUGCGGAUGACGGUACCGGCAUAAGAAGCACCGGCUAACUACGUGCCAGCAGCCGCGGUAAUACGUAGGGUGCGAGCGUUAAUCGGAAUUACUGGGCGUAAAGCGUGCGCAGGCGGUUUUGUAAGACAGGCGUGAAAUCCCCGGGCUCAACCUGGGAACUGCGCUUGUGACUGCAAGGCUAGAGUAUGGCAGAGGGGGGUGGAAUUCCACGUGUAGCAGUGAAAUGCGUAGAGAUGUGGAGGAACACCAAUGGCGAAGGCAGCCCCCUGGGCCAAUACUGACGCUCAUGCACGAAAGCGUGGGUAGCAAACAGGAUUAGAUACCCUGGUAGUCCACGCCCUAAACGAUGUCAACUAGGUGUUGGGUGGGUAAAACCAUUUAGUACCGGAGCUAACGCGUGAAGUUGACCGCCUGGGGAGUACGGCCGCAAGGUUAAAACUCAAAGGAAUUGACGGGGACCCGCACAAGCGGUGGAUGAUGUGGAUUAAUUCGAUGCAACGCGAAAAACCUUACCUACCCUUGACAUGUCCAGGAGCCUGAAGAGACUUGGGUGUGCCCGAAAGGGAACUGGAACACAGGUGCUGCAUGGCUGUCGUCAGCUCGUGUCGUGAGAUGUUGGGUUAAGUCCCGCAACGAGCGCAACCCUUGUCGUUAAUCGCCAUCAUUUAGUUGGGCACUUUAACGAGACUGCCGGUGACAAACCGGAGGAAGGUGGGGAUGACGUCAAGUCCUCAUGGCCCUUAUGGGUAGGGCUUCACACGUCAUACAAUGGUCGGUACAAAGGGUUGCCAACCCGCGAGGGGGAGCCAAUCCCAGAAAGCCGAUCGUAGUCCGGAUCGCAGGCUGCAACUCGCCUGCGUGAAGUCGGAAUCGCUAGUAAUCGUGGAUCAGCAUGUCACGGUGAAUACGUUCCCGGGUCUUGUACACACCGCCCGUCACACCAUGGGAGCGGGUUCCGCCAGAAGUAGGUAGCCUAACCGCAAGGGGGGCGCUUACCACGGCGGGGUUCGUGACUGGGGUGAAGUCGGAACAAGGUA
Molecule: ribosomal RNA, 1323 nt
Filed under: metagenome
Description: bacterial SSU rRNA
Rfam family: Bacterial small subunit ribosomal RNA
Source: RNAcentral